GCCUCGAUGGCGGAAUUGGUAGACGCGUUGGAUUCAAAAUCCAAUUCUCUCGGGAGUGUGGGUUCGAUUCCCACUCGAGGUA
RNAcentral lists this transfer RNA (82 nucleotides) under Flavobacteriaceae bacterium. RNAcentral's name for it is "tRNA-Leu". It matches the Rfam family "tRNA". From Rfam's summary of the family: Transfer RNA (tRNA) molecules are approximately 80 nucleotides in length. Their secondary structure includes four short double-helical elements and three loops (D, anti-codon, and T loops). Lineage: Bacteria; Pseudomonadati; Bacteroidota; Flavobacteriia; Flavobacteriales; Flavobacteriaceae. The record is from RNAcentral.